Molecule: ribosomal RNA, 431 nt
Filed under: uncultured bacterium
Lineage: Bacteria
Description: bacterial SSU rRNA
Rfam family: Bacterial small subunit ribosomal RNA
Source: RNAcentral
ACGAACGCUGGCGGCAUGCCUAACACAUGCAAGUCGAACGAGACCUUCGGGUCUAGUGGCGCACGGGUGCGUAACGCGUGGGAAUCUGCCCUUGGGUUCGGAAUAACUCAGAGAAAUUUGAGCUACUAUCGGAUGAUGACGUAAGUCCAAAGAUUUAUCGCCCAAGGAUGAGCCCGCGUAAGAUUAGCUUGUUGGUGAGGUAAAGGCUCACCAAGGCGACGAUCUUUAGCUGGUCUGAGAGGAUGAUCAGCCACACUGGGACUGAGACACGGCCCAGACUCCUACGGGAGGCAGCAGUGGGGAAUAUUGGACAAUGGGCGAAAGCCUGAUCCAGCAAUGCCGCGUGAGUGAUGAAGGCCGUAGGGUUGUAAAGCUCUUUUACCAGGGAAGAUAAUGACGGUACCUGGAGAAUAAGCUCCGGCUAACUCCGU